Molecule: ribosomal RNA, 149 nt
Filed under: Oryza sativa Indica Group (long-grained rice)
Lineage: Eukaryota; Viridiplantae; Streptophyta; Magnoliopsida; Poales; Poaceae
Source: RNAcentral
GGAUGCGAUCAUACCAGCACUAAAGCACCGGAUCCCAUCAGAACUCCGAAGUUAAGCACGGAUCCCAUCAGAACUCCGAAGUUAAGCAUGCUUGGGCGAGAGUAGUACUAGGAUGGGUGACCUCCUGGGAAGUCCUCGUGUUGCAUCCC